RNAcentral lists this unclassified non-coding RNA (237 nucleotides) under Hevea brasiliensis (rubber tree). Lineage: Eukaryota; Viridiplantae; Streptophyta; Magnoliopsida; Malpighiales; Euphorbiaceae. The record is from RNAcentral.
GAAUAGAGGAGAGUAUUCCAUCAACAUCAGUUGGAGUCCGGGAUCCAUCUGUGUAGUCCACAUUUUCUAAACAACUUAUCGCAGAAAAAAUCAGUCCAUCAGAGUGAGAAAUUAACCCACCCAACAAGGCAACCUCAGUAGUCUCCAGAUAAAGAUUUAACUGCCUCACUUGAGAUGAAAUAGAAGGUAUAGUGACCUCACUAAAUGCUACGCAAGAUUUGACAAAACUGAGAUUCG